RNAcentral lists this ribosomal RNA (400 nucleotides) under uncultured bacterium. RNAcentral's name for it is "bacterial SSU rRNA". It matches the Rfam family "Bacterial small subunit ribosomal RNA", at positions 356 to 773 of the family's 1533-position model. The record is from RNAcentral.
GGGGAAUAUUGCACAAUGGGGGAAACCCUGAUGCAGCGACGCCGCGUGAGUGAUGAAGUAUUUCGGUAUGUAAAGCUCUAUCAGCAGGGAAGAUAAUGACGGUACCUGACUAAGAAGCACCGGCUAAAUACGUGCCAGCAGCCGCGGUAAUACGUAUGGUGCAAGCGUUAUCCGGAUUUACUGGGUGUAAAGGGUGCGUAGGUGGUGAGACAAGUCUGAAGUGAAAAUCCGGGGCUUAACCCCGGAACUGCUUUGGAAACUGCCUGACUAGAGUACAGGAGAGGUAAGUGGAAUUCCUAGUGUAGCGGUGAAAUGCGUAGAUAUUAGGAGGAACACCAGUGGCGAAGGCGACUUACUGGACUGCUACUGACACUGAGGCACGAAAGCGUGGGGAGCAAAC